This 484-nucleotide ribosomal RNA is filed under the name uncultured bacterium. RNAcentral describes it as "partial 16S ribosomal RNA". It matches the Rfam family "Bacterial small subunit ribosomal RNA", at positions 30 to 507 of the family's 1533-position model. The record is from RNAcentral.
AUUGAACGCUGGCGGCAGGCCUAACACAUGCAAGUCGAGCGGAUGAAGGGAGCUUGCUCCUGGAUUCAGCGGCGGCCGGGUGAGUAAUGCCUAGGAAUCUGCAUGGUAGUGGGGGAUAACGUCCGGAAACGGGCGCUAAUACCGCAUACGUCCUGAGGGAGAAAGUGGGGGAUCUUCGGACCUCACGCUAACAGAUGAGCAUAGGUCGGAUUAGCUAGGUGGUGGGGUAAAGGCCUACCAAGGCGACGAUCCGUAACUGGUAUGAGAGGAAGAUCAGUCACACUGGAACUGAGACUCGGCCCAGACUCCGACAGGAGGCAGCGGUGGGGAAUAUUGGAGGAGGGAGCAAUGGCUAAUCCAGCAAUGCCGGGUGUAGCAUGAUGGUCCUCGGAUGCGAGAGUACUUAAAGUUUUGGGGUAGUAAAGUAAGUUUACACGGUACGAUAUUGACGGUACCAACAGAAUAAGCUCCGGCUAACUUCGUG